CACGGGCAGCGCAGUGGGACAAUGGGGGAACCCUGAUCCAGCCAUCCCGCGUGUGAUGAAGGCUCAAGGUUGUAAAGCACUUUUUGGCAGAAGAAACGGCACGAUAAUACCCUGCGCAACUGACGGUACCGCACAAGCACCGGCUAACUACGCCAGCACAGCGGUAAUACGUAGGUGCAAGCGUUAAUCGGAAUUACUGGGCGCAAAGCGCAGGUUCGGAAAGAAAGAUGUGAAAUCCCAGAGCUUAACUUUAACCUGCAUUUUAAUCAACAGCCAGAGUGUCAGAGGGAGGUGGACAGGCGUGUAGCAGUGAAAGUGUAGAUAUGUGAUGGCGAAGGUGCCUCCCUGGGAUAACAUCGCUCAUAUCAAAGCGUGGGGAGCAAACAGGAUUAGAUACCCUGGUAGU
RNAcentral lists this unclassified non-coding RNA (406 nucleotides) under uncultured Bordetella sp. RNAcentral describes it as "partial 16S-23S ribosomal RNA intergenic spacer". It matches the Rfam family "Bacterial small subunit ribosomal RNA", at positions 349 to 794 of the family's 1533-position model. The record is from RNAcentral. Lineage: Bacteria; Pseudomonadati; Pseudomonadota; Betaproteobacteria; Burkholderiales; Alcaligenaceae.